This 243-nucleotide ribosomal RNA is filed under the name uncultured bacterium. RNAcentral's name for it is "partial 16S ribosomal RNA". It matches the Rfam family "Bacterial small subunit ribosomal RNA", at positions 534 to 776 of the family's 1533-position model. The record is from RNAcentral.
GCAAGCGUUGUUCGGAAUUAUUGGGCGUAAAGAGCUCGUAGGCGGUUUGUCGCGUCUGCUGUGAAAACUCGGGGCUUAACUCCGGGCCUGCAGUGGGUACGGGCAGACUAGAGUGCGGUAGGGGAGACUGGAAUUCCUGGUGUAGCGGUGAAAUGCGCAGAUAUCAGGAGGAACACCGGUGGCGAAGGCGGGUCUCUGGGCCGUAACUGACGCUGAGGAGCGAAGGCCAGGGGAGCAAACGGG